This 228-nucleotide ribosomal RNA is filed under the name Pseudomonas aeruginosa. RNAcentral's name for it is "partial 23S ribosomal RNA". It matches the Rfam family "Bacterial large subunit ribosomal RNA", at positions 2703 to 2925 of the family's 2925-position model. RNAcentral also lists the same sequence under 2 other names. Lineage: Bacteria; Pseudomonadati; Pseudomonadota; Gammaproteobacteria; Pseudomonadales; Pseudomonadaceae. The record is from RNAcentral.
GCAUCACUGGUGUUCGGGUUGUCAUGCCAAUGGCACUGCCCGGUAGCUAAAUGCGGAAGAGAUAAGUGCUGAAAGCAUCUAAGCACGAAACUUGCCCCGAGAUGAGUUCUCCCUGAGACUAUAAGUCUCCUGAAGGAACGUUGAAGACGACGACGUUGAUAGGCCGGGUGUGUAAGCGCAGCGAUGCGUUGAGCUAACCGGUACUAAUGAACCGUGAGGCUUAACCUU